This 307-nucleotide ribosomal RNA is filed under the name uncultured bacterium. Its description in RNAcentral is "bacterial SSU rRNA". It matches the Rfam family "Bacterial small subunit ribosomal RNA", at positions 186 to 507 of the family's 1533-position model. The record is from RNAcentral.
UCGCAUGAAUUAAUUAUCAAAGAUUUAUCGCUGAAAGAUGAGCUCGCGUCUGAUUAGGAUAGUUGGUGAGGUAACGGCUCACCAAGUCGACGAUCAGUAGCCGGACUGAGAGGUUGAACGGCCACAUUGGGACUGAGACACGGCCCCAGACUCCUACGGGAGGCAGCAGUGGGGGAAUAUUGCACAAUGGGCGCAAGCCUGAUGCAGCGAUGCCGCGUGAGGGAAGAAGGUUUUAGGAUUGUAAACCUCUGUCUUCAGGGGACGAUAAUGACGGUACCUCGAGGAGGAAGCUCCGGCUAACUACGUG